RNAcentral lists this unclassified non-coding RNA (369 nucleotides) under uncultured bacterium. RNAcentral's name for it is "contains 16S-23S intergenic spacer region". The record is from RNAcentral.
UCCGGUUUGUCACCGGCAGUCUCAUUAGAGUGCCCUUGCGUAGCAACUAAUGAUAAGGGUUGCGCUCGUUGCGGGACUUAACCCAACAUCUCACGACACGAGCUGACGACAGCCAUGCACCACCUAUCACGGGCCCCGAAGGACACCGUAUUUCUACGGCUUUUCCCGCAUAGUUCAGCCCAGGUAAGGUUCUUCGCGUUGCAUCGAAUUGAGCCACAUGCUCCGCCGCUUGUGCGGGCCCCCGUCAAUUCCUUUGAGUUUCAACCUUGCGGUCGUACUCCCCAGGCGGGGUACUUCCUGCGUUAGCGCCGGCACCCAGAGGGUCGCUCCCCCAGGCACCUAGUACCCAUCGUUUAGGGCUAGGACUAC